This 253-nucleotide ribosomal RNA is filed under the name uncultured bacterium. RNAcentral's name for it is "partial 16S ribosomal RNA". It matches the Rfam family "Bacterial small subunit ribosomal RNA", at positions 524 to 776 of the family's 1533-position model. The record is from RNAcentral.
UACGUAGGAAGCAAGCGUUGUUCGGAGUUACUGGGCGUAAAGGGUGCGUAGGCGGCUUUUUAAGUUUGGUGUGAAAUCUCCCGGCUCAACUGGGAGGGUGCGCCGAAUACUGAGAGGCUAGAGUGUGGGAGAGGAAAGUGGAAUUCCUGGUGUAGCGGUGAAAUGCGUAGAUAUCAGGAGGAACACCGGUGGUGUAAACGGCUUUCUGGACCAUAACUGACGCUGAGGCACGAAAGCGUGGUUAGCAAACAGG